GGGUUGUGAGGUUAAGCGACUAAGCGUACACGGUGGAUGCCCUGGCAGUCAGAGGCGAUGAAGGACGUGCUAAUCUGCGAUAAGCGUCGGUAAGGUGAUAUGAACCGUUAUAACCGGCGAUUUCCGAAUGGGGAAACCCAGUGUGAUUCGUCACACUAUCAUUAACUGAAUCCAUAGGUUAAUGAGGCGAACCGGGG
This 197-nucleotide ribosomal RNA is filed under the name Escherichia coli. RNAcentral describes it as "partial 23S ribosomal RNA". It matches the Rfam family "Bacterial large subunit ribosomal RNA", at positions 1 to 189 of the family's 2925-position model. Lineage: Bacteria; Pseudomonadati; Pseudomonadota; Gammaproteobacteria; Enterobacterales; Enterobacteriaceae. The record is from RNAcentral. RNAcentral also lists the same sequence under 1 other name.